UUUUGACCAAUAUCUGCUUUUUUUUUUAGCUUAUAUAUCUUAUAUUUAAGAUAUUUUAUAUUUUUAAGUAAAUGUUACAGCCUUACAAGAUAAAAAUGUAACGUAGGCCUAUUUAUUUAUUUGGCUGGCUAUUUAUAGGUUUAAUUAUUUAAAGGUAUGUGAAAUAAAAUGUAAAAGAGACAGGAUGGCAAUUUUAUUCAAAAACUUGCAUUUCUGAUUUUGACCACAUGAGGGGGCGCUAACCCAACUAAUUCUAUCCAUAUUUCUAACCCCCUACUAAAUAUUUCAGACCUGUUUGAAUAAAAACGUUUUUUUAAUUAUGAUUAAAGUAUAAUACAAAAACACAGAGGCUAAAAAACAACCUUUUAUUUUCAUUUCAGUAAUACAGUUGGCUGUUGUGCACAGCACAUACGUAUAAAAAUAAAAGGAAACAUUUUCUUAAUAUACUAGAAUUAUUACUCAUUUUUUCUUUUUUUUUUUCAGAGAACAAUACGAUUUGCAAAAAGCUUGUUGUCUCCAACAUAUCUUACAAUCAUUUCAACAAAUUGGAACUAAGGCAGAAGAAGACAAAAUGUCAUGCAGGUUUGGAUCAAGAUAAGGAUGUCUCAAAAUGUCAAGUAGAAGCAGUGAUGCAAGAGAAAUCAAGCUUCUGAGGUCCUUUUGGUCAAAGAUGAUGUGGGUGGCGAAAUAGAUGCCAAUGGCACCAAAGAUGGCAGAGGAGGCGAUGUACAUGGUGACGGACUCUGUGAACUGGACGAUCAUGCCCAUGAAGAGGGUAGGGAAGACCUGAGACAGAAGGAAGGUGCUGUCCAGAAUGGCAAAGUCUAGUCCCACCCCACGUUUCUCAAAAUCCUCUGACUCCAGACCAAGGUGGGCACCGUUCUGAUAGAGAGAUGGGUAGUAGCCUGGUUCAUCUCUACUGUGAGGAACAUGCCCAUUGGAAAUGCCACUCUUGUGGUUGAGAUCUCCAGGGCCGCUGUCUAGUGUCAGACAAACAGAAUCCCUUGUGAUGGUGAAUCCAUUUGUGUGCGGUUUUGGGGUUUUGCUGUUUUGCAUGUACACCUGAAGAACGUUAGUAAUGAGAAGCAAUGACAGGUGAGCGUGUAAGGCAGUGUCUGCAGUGUGGCAUAGGCAAAGCCAGUAAGGGCAGACAUAGCUGUGACCAACAGAACGCUCUUGGACAAGCAGAUGACCAGAGCUGAGAUGGUGAAGCACACCAUGCUGCUCAAAUAGACCGCCCUGGACCCAAAGAGACGCACUAGUCUGCUCAUGACCAGCGAGAAGAAGGUUGAGGUAGCACACUGCAGGAACAGGCCCAGGCUGCCCAUACGGAUACCUGCGGGGUGAUGUUAGGAUUUCACAUGAGAAACUGGCUUUGGCGUUGUACUUCAAACAGGCCAGGAACUUUCCUCACAGAAGGAAUUCAUAAUUUCAACACACAACUGCAGAGGCCUGAGAUGUUCAUUGUUCUGAACAACUAUCUCCAACAUUUUGUGUUACAUGGGGCACAGUUUGCGGUCAACUACACUGACAGAUUUCAUUUGUGUGCACACUGAUCUUGACCACAUCUGUCAAAAUGUUCUGCUGAAGGAGCUUUCUGCUUGUGUCGAUGCUCAGUGGGAGAGAUCCAGAUGCUAGCUUAACAUGGAGUAGCUUUUGUAAGCUUGUUGUUGACUUUUUUUAUGAACAUUGCUGGAAGCUCAAGCACCAGGCUGACAGAAGCCACAUGUGGAGGUGAAUACAAGUUCACAGUUUAGAGACAGACGAUAUGGCCAGAGGACGGAAAUGACAGACCACCAACUGCAGGCAAGCAACUUUAUGGACAGUGGAGAAAAAAAAACAUAUUCCUUUAGAAAAACUGCUUAUUGACCACAGACACUGAAAUAAGUUAAAGUUAAUGUUCUUUAUUAUGCUUAACUCCAUGCAACAAACUGAUAUCCUUUCUUUUCAUUCUUUCUGUCUAAUGGGAGCCUCUAGAGAAAACUGAGAAUCUAUGUGCAAACAUUAACCAAC
Carassius gibelio (silver crucian carp) is the source of this 2013-nucleotide long non-coding RNA. RefSeq lists it as uncharacterized. The record is from RefSeq and is a predicted model, not a curated record. The transcript is spliced from 6 exons. Lineage: Eukaryota; Metazoa; Chordata; Actinopteri; Cypriniformes; Cyprinidae.